This is a long non-coding RNA of Lycium barbarum (goji berry), 988 nucleotides long. RefSeq lists it as uncharacterized. Lineage: Eukaryota; Viridiplantae; Streptophyta; Magnoliopsida; Solanales; Solanaceae. The record is from RefSeq and is a predicted model, not a curated record. The transcript has 4 exons.
UUAUAUGAAUCACAUAUGUGAAGUUAAACACAACUCAAGAAGGACCCUUGGGCCAAAUCAAAGUGGAAGUCCUCCAAACGAAUAUUUUUAAGAAAACGUUUUCGGGUGACCUGACUUUGGGGGGCAAAAACGGUAUUAUAUGUUUGGAAUUUGUAAAAAUACCAAGCAGUAGAAGUUGUAGAUAAUUGAAUUAUCUUUCCAACCAUAGGUCGUGGGUUCCCAGGUGACGUCGGUACAAGGAGAUAUGGACGUUUUAAGGUCGAAAGGUCAGUGGGCUAGGCCCAACUCGGGACCAACCGAGUUGGCCCAAAAAAAUGAAAAGAAAAAUUUAGGCCCAAGGUGAGAGGGUGGCCGGCCAUACCUGGUCCAAGCCCACCAAAUUAAUUAAUUUCCAUGUGGCAAAUUAAUUAUAAAGGGAUCAUUAUCCCUUAGAUGAUUCAAGAAACUUAGAAGGAGAAAGAACAAACAAAACAAGAGCAAAAAAAAAGGGUCAUUUCGGGUUUGGCCAUAGAAAAUUCACCCCUCCAAAUCUUCCUCCAAAAAUUAUUUUCUUGUGGUAUUCCUACUAAUUUAAGGGUCCUUUACAACUUGGUGUAAUUGUUUUGGAAGAAGGAGCACUUAUUUCUUCAAGUUGACAACUUGUUCAAGUGAAGGAGUUGUAGAAAAAGAUUUUGGGCGAAACGGGAAUUGAAUUUGGAAAGGCGUAAAGAGCAUAUAAGGUACCGACGACAGGUUUGCUGAUCCGUCCGCUUAGGAUCUUAUUCUGCUAUUUUGGAGCGCUCCUUUAUCCGGAGCCUAUAUUUUGUGAUGCCUCCGAAAAAGGCGACGGCUGCCCAGAAGAAAAAGGGCGUGGUAGGAGAGACCAGCCGGGCUCAGAAGGGUACUCGGACCCUUGCUCAGAUGAUGCGUGAUAUUGCGUCCCGGCCAGCAGACUCUGCUACGUCUUCAUCAUCAGAGGAGUCUGGGGCAGCUCCACCAGUAGCUCCAG